Drosophila obscura is the source of this 1201-nucleotide long non-coding RNA. RefSeq lists it as uncharacterized. The transcript has 2 exons. The record is from RefSeq and is a predicted model, not a curated record. NCBI's taxonomy places the organism in Eukaryota, Metazoa, Arthropoda, Insecta, Diptera, Drosophilidae.
UGGAACUCGGACUUAAAUUUUCAGUUGCUAGAAAUGCCUCGACCAGGCAACAUCUAAAAAUAUUAAUUUCAAAAGUAAAAAAUAAAAAUAAAAAAAAUUCUUCUGGCUUACAUUUUUUGUUGGGAUUUGUUUUUUUUUGUGUGUGUGUGUGUCAAACGAAGCAAAUGUUGGUAGCUAAUCCUGCAGCUAAUCAAGAGGAUCGGCAACGGUGGGAUGGAGAUGGAUGCACCACAAAUGCCUGCCAGCCUGCAGGGAAGUUUUCGACAAAAUCAAUGAAACAUCCACCGAGUGGGGAACGGGAACGGCAACGGUACUCUGUGGCACGAAUAGUUGACCACCUAGUUGGGAUCGUUCUUAUCGGCCACUAAUUACGUUUUGGUCAUGUGCUCCUUGGGCUGCUUCUUUCGGAAGCGAAGGCUCGUCGGAACUGUUUCUCGUCUGCAGUCGCAUCAAAACUUCGGGUUGGCUCUUUGUGUGUGCCGUCCUGUCCGCCGUUCCGAUGCUACUGAUCCUUGGAGGACACCGUCCAAUGGACCAAUUGGCUUCUUGAGAGGAUUCAUGCAUGACAACCAUGUUCUGUUCCCCACUUUGAUCUAGCACAUCCCCAAGGCAAUGGCAAAGGGGAAAAAGCCUUCACAUGGAUCAUUCACACAGUUUUGGCAAUGUUUGGACUGGGUUGAAUGUGAGUUGGGCUCCUUGGGCUCCACAUACAGAGUUCAACAAUCUCAUCUCUAUGUCCAAAAGUCGUCCCUCCACCAGAAGACAGACCUGCACAGGAUUCGAUUCCAUUGAAAAAUCUUUAAAUGAAAUUAUGGGACCGAUUGGGAGAUGUUAUCGUGAUCUUGCGGGACACCAGCAAUUGGCGUGGAACCAGCUAAGGAUCAACUACGGCGACUACUAGGAAUGAAGCAGGGGCACGGCUGCCUCCCAGGGUCAGUAUCAUAGGAUCAGCGGAUAGGACGACAAACGCGAAAAACGAACCCCAUGCUUGGAUUCAGCUGCAGAUUAAAGUUCCGUGAAAGCUUCGCUUCAGAGGGAAGAGGCCUUAAAGAGCAGACUAGCGAAACGUGAAGAGUGUCCCAUGAGGAUGACCGCAACCAGGUGGAUUCCAACUGGUCGUGCCAUUAAUGAUCGUCCCAAGGUGUCGCCCCAUCGAUUGAUGUAACAGGCAACAAAUAAUUAUAUAUUUUAUAAAAGAGAA